Molecule: microRNA precursor, 66 nt
Filed under: Marmota monax (woodchuck)
Lineage: Eukaryota; Metazoa; Chordata; Mammalia; Rodentia; Sciuridae
Source: RNAcentral
UCUUAUGGAUGAGCAAAGAAAGUAGUUUCUUUAUGUGAAAUCUACACUUGGUGAAACCAUUAUGAA